UGGGGAAUCUUGGACAAUGGGCGCAAGCCUGAUCCAGCCAUGCCGCGUGAGUGAAGAAGGCCUUCGGGUUGUAAAGCUCUUUUGUCAGGGACGAUAAUGACGGUACCUGAAGAAUAAGCCCCGGCAAACUUCGUGCCAGCAGCCGCGGUAAUACGAAGGGGGCUAGCGUUGUUCGGAAUCACUGGGCGUAAAGGGAGUGUAGGCGGUAAGGUGUGUUCGGCGUGAAAGACCUCGGCUUAACCGGGGAAGUGCACUGAAUACUACCUUACUUGAGUGUGAGAGGGGAUGGCGGAAUUGUCAGUGUAGAGGUGAAAUUCGUAGAUACUGGCAAGAACACCAGUGGCGAAGGCGGCUAACUGGUCCGGUACUGACGCUGAGGUGCGAAAGCGUGGGGAGCAAACAGGAUUAGAUACCCUUGUAGUCCCUGAGCGGGCUGGCAAGGCGCAU
RNAcentral lists this ribosomal RNA (447 nucleotides) under uncultured bacterium. RNAcentral describes it as "bacterial SSU rRNA". It matches the Rfam family "Bacterial small subunit ribosomal RNA", at positions 355 to 825 of the family's 1533-position model. The record is from RNAcentral.